UAGGGGAGCAUAUGGAACCAACUCGAUACCAAGUCCCUGGACAAGCAAACUGACAAGCAUGCCAGCUCCUUGUUUAGAAUGUACAGAUGUAAUGUCACCUAACAUAGGAACCACAUUCUCAAUAACUGAGCCCAUCACAUCCAAUGUCAUUGACUUGGCCAUGGUUGUAAUACAUCUAGAUGCAGCUAAUCUCACGGCAAUAUGUGAAUAACGAACACAUCUGAAAAUGCAUGGUAGGAGAGUGAGGAGUUUCG
RNAcentral lists this unclassified non-coding RNA (254 nucleotides) under Hevea brasiliensis (rubber tree). The record is from RNAcentral. Lineage: Eukaryota; Viridiplantae; Streptophyta; Magnoliopsida; Malpighiales; Euphorbiaceae.